GAUGAACGCUGGCGGCGUGCCUAAUACAUGCAAGUCGAGCGGACGGACGAGAAGCUUGCGUCUCGGAUGUUAGGGGCGGACGUGUGAGUAACACGUGGAAAACGUACCUAUAAUACUGGGAUAACUUCGUGAAACCGGAGCUAAUACCGGAGAAUAUUUUGAACCAUAUUGGUGAAGAGUGAAAUACGGUGUUGGGGGCAGUAAUAGAUGCAUCUGCGCUGCGUUAGCUAGUUGGUAAGGUAACCGCUUACGAAGGCAACGAUGCAUAGCCGCCAUCAUAGAGUGAUCGACCACCUCGGAAAUGGAACACGGUCCAGACUCCUACGGGAGGGAGCAGUAGGGAAUCUUACGCAAUAGUCGAAAGCUUGCCGCAGCAACGCCGCGUGAGUGAUGAAGGUCUUCGGCUCGUAAAACUCUGUUAUUAGGGAAGAACCUAUGUGUAAGUAAAUGUGCACAUAUUGACGGUACCUACUCAGAAAGCAACGGCUAACUACGUG
Molecule: ribosomal RNA, 497 nt
Filed under: uncultured bacterium
Lineage: Bacteria
Description: partial 16S ribosomal RNA
Rfam family: Bacterial small subunit ribosomal RNA
Source: RNAcentral